Molecule: unclassified non-coding RNA, 538 nt
Filed under: Fellomyces polyborus
Lineage: Eukaryota; Fungi; Basidiomycota; Tremellomycetes; Tremellales; Cuniculitremaceae
Description: sequence contains 18S rRNA gene, ITS1, 5.8S rRNA gene, ITS2, 28S rRNA gene
Rfam family: 5.8S ribosomal RNA (bases 163-316)
Source: RNAcentral
UCGUAACAAGGUUUCCGUAGGUGAACCUGCGGAAGGAUCAUUAGUGAUUGGGCUCACGCCCGUUUACACAUCCAACACCUCUGUGAACCGUCGGUCGGCCGUGAGGGCCGAUCCUUUUACAACACAAUGUGUCAUGAACGUCAUAUGUAUAACAAUUGAAAAAACUUUCAACAACGGAUCUCUUGGCUCUCGCAUCGAUGAAGAACGCAGCGAAAUGCGAUAAGUAAUGUGAAUUGCAGAAUUCAGUGAAUCAUCGAAUCUUUGAACGCACCUUGCGCCUCUUGGUAUUCCGAGAGGCAUGCCUGUUUGAGUGUCAUGAAAAAUCAACCCCUCGGGUUUUCCGACCUGGGGUGGCUUGGAACUGGGCGCUGCCGCUUGACUGCCGGCUCGCCUCAAAGGUCUCAGUGGGGAAGAUCGACCCGUGCCAGACGUGAUAAGUUUCGUCCGGCUACGUCGUGAAGCCUGCUCACAACCACCACUACUAUCUCUUGAUUGACCUCAAAUCAGGUAGGGCUACCCGCUGAACUUAAGCAUAUCA